GCCAGUGUGGCAUAGUAGUUUGUGCAUUGGACUGUGACUCUGGAGACCAGGGUUCAAAUCCUGUCUUGGCU
RNAcentral lists this transfer RNA (71 nucleotides) under Phrynosoma platyrhinos (Desert horned lizard). Its description in RNAcentral is "tRNA-OTHER". It matches the Rfam family "tRNA". Rfam says of the family: Transfer RNA (tRNA) molecules are approximately 80 nucleotides in length. Their secondary structure includes four short double-helical elements and three loops (D, anti-codon, and T loops). The record is from RNAcentral. Lineage: Eukaryota; Metazoa; Chordata; Lepidosauria; Squamata; Phrynosomatidae.